Molecule: ribosomal RNA, 496 nt
Filed under: uncultured bacterium
Lineage: Bacteria
Description: partial 16S ribosomal RNA
Rfam family: Bacterial small subunit ribosomal RNA
Source: RNAcentral
GAUGAACGCUGGCGGCGUGCCUAAUACAUGCAAGUCGAGCGAACAGACGAGGAGCUUGCUCCUCUGACGUUAGCGGCGGACGGGUGAGUAACACGUGGAUAACCUACCUAUAAGACUGGGAUAACUUCGGGAAACCGGAGCUAAUACCGGAUAAUAUAUUGAACCGCAUGGUUCAAUAGUGAAAGACGGUUUUGCUGUCACUUAUAGAUGGAUCCGCGCCGCAUUAGCUAGUUGGUAAGGUAACGGCUUACCAAGGCGACGAUGCGUAGCCGACCUGAGAGGGUGAUCGGCCACACUGGAACUGAGACACGGUCCAGACUCCUACGGGAGGCAGCAGUAGGGAAUCUUCCGCAAUGGGCGAAAGCCUGACGGAGCAACGCCGCGUGAGUGAUGAAGGUCUGCGGAUCGUAAAACUCUGUAUUAGGGAAGAACAAAUGUGUAAGUAACUAUGCACGUCUUGACGGUACCUAAUCAGAAAGCCACGGCUAACUACGUG